UUAAGUGACUAAGCGUACAAGGUGGAUGCCUUGGCAAUCAGAGGCGAAGAAGGACGUGCUAAUCUGCGAAAAGCUUGGAUGAGUCGAUAAGAGGCGUUUAAUCCAAGAUGUCCGAAUGGGGAAACCCAGUAGAUGAAGAAUCUACUAUCACUUACUGAAUCCAUAGGUAAGUGAGGCAAACCGGGAGAACUGAAACAUCUAAGUACCCCGAGGAAAAGAAAUCAACCGAGAUUUCGUUAGUAGCGGCGAGCGAACGCGAAGGAGCCUGUUAGUGAUAAUGACAGAGACAGAGGAACAAGCUGGGAAGCUUGGCGAUACAGGGUGAUAGCCCCGUACUCGAAGUCCAGGUCAUGGUACUAAGCUAACGAUAAGUAGGGCGGGACACGUGAUAUCCUGUUUGAAGAUGGGGGGACCAUCCUCCAAGGCUAAAUACUCCUGAUUGACCGAUAGUGAACCAGUACUGUGAAGGAAAGGCGAAAAGAACCCCGGUGAGGGGAGUGAAAUAGAACCUGAAACCUUGUACGUACAAGCAGUGGGAGCCCUUUAAGGGUGACUGCGUACCUUUUGUAUAAUGGGUCAGCGACUUAUAUUUUGUAGCGAGGUUAACCGAAUAGGGGAGCCGAAGGGAAACCGAGUCUUAACUGGGCGUCUAGUUGCAAGGUAUAGACCCGAAACCCGGUGAUCUAGCCAUGGGCAGGUUGAAGGUUGGGUAACACUAACUGGAGGACCGAACCGACUAAUGUUGAAAAAUUAGCGGAUGACUUGUGGCUGGGGGUGAAAGGCCAAUCAAACCGGGAGAUAGCUGGUUCUCCCCGAAAUCUAUUUAGGUAGAGCCUUGAGCGGACACCUUCGGGGGUAGAGCACUGUUUCGGCUAGGGGUCCAUCCCGGAUUACCAACCCGAUGCAAACUACGAAUACCGAAGAGUGAUACUCAGGAGACACACGGCGGGUGCUAACGUCCGUCGUGGAGAGGGAAACAACCCAGACCGCCAGCUAAGGUCCCAAAGUCUAUAUUAAGUGGGAAACGAAGUGGGAAGGCUUAGACAGCUAGGAUGUUGGCUUAGAAGCAGCCAUCAUUUAAAGAAAGCGUAAUAGCUCACUAGUCGAGUCGGCCUGCGCGGAAGAUGUAACGGGGCUCAAAUAUAGCACCGAAGCUGCGGCAUCAGACGAAAGUCUGUUGGGUAGGGGAGCGUUCUGUAAGCGGAUGAAGGUGAAUCGAGAGGUUUGCUGGACGUAUCAGAAGUGCGAAUGCUGACAUAAGUAACGAUAAAACGGGUGAAAAACCCGUUCGCCGGAAGACCAAGGGUUCCUGUCCAACGUUAAUCGGGGCAGGGUGAGUCGGCCCCUAAGGCGAGGCUGAAAAGCGUAGUCGAUGGGAAACGGGUUAAUAUUCCCGUACUUGGAUAAACUGCGAUGUGGGGACGGAGCAGGUUAGGUUAUCGCACUGUUGGAUAUGUGCGUUUAAGUUGGUAGGUGGGAAGUUUAGGCAAAUCCGGACUUCCUUAACACUGAGAGAUGAUGACGAGGCUCUACGGAGCUGAAGUAACCGAUACCACACUUCCAGGAAAAGCCACUAAGCUUCAGGUUUAUCUAAACCGUACUGAAAACCGACACAGGUGGUCAGGUAGAGAAUACUCAGGCGCUUGAGAGAACUCGGGUGAAGGAACUAGGCAAAAUAGCACCGUAACUUCGGGAGAAGGUGCGCCGGCGUAGAUUGUAAGGGCUUGCCCCUGAAGGUUGAACCGGUCGAAGAUACCAGCUGGCUGCAACUGUUUAUUAAAAACACAGCACUCUGCAAACACGAAAGUGGACGUAUAGGGUGUGAUGCCUGCCCGGUGCUGGAAGGUUAAUUGAUGGUGUAAUCGAAAGAGAAGCUCCUGAUCGAAGCCCCAGUAAACGGCGGCCGUAACUAUAACGGUCCUAAGGUAGCGAAAUUCCUUGUCGGGU
RNAcentral lists this ribosomal RNA (1947 nucleotides) under human oral metagenome. RNAcentral describes it as "bacterial LSU rRNA". It matches the Rfam family "Bacterial large subunit ribosomal RNA", at positions 1 to 1977 of the family's 2925-position model. The record is from RNAcentral.